UACGUAGGGGGCAAGCGUUGUCCGGAUUUAUUGGGCGUAAAGAGCGUGUAGGCGGCCAGGUAGGUCUGCUGUGAAAACUCGAGGCUCAACCUCGAGACGCCGGCGGAAACCAUCUGGCUAGAGUCCGGAAGAGGAGAGUGGAAUUCCUGGUGUAGCGGUGAAAUGCGUAGAUAUCGGGAGGAACACCAGUGGCGAAGGCGACUUCCUGGCCUGUUCUUGACGCUGAGGCGCGAAAGCUAGGGGAGCAAACGGG
This 253-nucleotide ribosomal RNA is filed under the name uncultured bacterium. Its description in RNAcentral is "partial 16S ribosomal RNA". It matches the Rfam family "Bacterial small subunit ribosomal RNA", at positions 524 to 776 of the family's 1533-position model. The record is from RNAcentral.